CCCUUAGAUGUUCUGGGCCGCACGCGUGCUACACUGAGUGGAUCAGCGGGUCAGGUUACGCGAGAGCGUUUCCUAAUCUUCAAAUCCGCUCGUGAUGGGGAUUGACGGUUGCAAUUUUCCGUCAUGAACGAGGAAUACCUUGUAAGCGCGGGUCAUCAUCCCGCGCUGAAUACGUCCCUGCCCUUUGUACACACCGCCCGUCGCUCCUACCGAUUGAGUGGUCCGGUGAGACUUUGGGAUCUAAGCGAAAAGAGCGUUUCGCCCCUUUUGCUGGGAGAACUCAGUCGAACCUUAUCAUUUAGAGGAAGGAGAAGUCGUAACA
This 322-nucleotide ribosomal RNA is filed under the name uncultured eukaryote. RNAcentral describes it as "partial 18S ribosomal RNA". It matches the Rfam family "Eukaryotic small subunit ribosomal RNA", at positions 1470 to 1796 of the family's 1831-position model. The record is from RNAcentral.